RNAcentral lists this ribosomal RNA (403 nucleotides) under uncultured bacterium. RNAcentral describes it as "partial 16S ribosomal RNA". It matches the Rfam family "Bacterial small subunit ribosomal RNA", at positions 30 to 526 of the family's 1533-position model. The record is from RNAcentral.
AUUGAACGCUGGCGGCAGGCCUAACACAUGCAAGUCGAGCGAGCGGCGGACGGGUGAGUAAUGUAUGGGGACUGCCCUAUACAGGGGGCUAACUACUGGACACGGUAGCUAAUACCUCAUACUCUCGGGAAACCCAUAUGGGAUUAGCUAGUAGGUGAGGUAAUGGCGCACCUAGGCGACCAUCCCUAGCUGGUCUGUGAGGAUGAUCAGUAACACGGGGACUGAGAAACGGGCCGGACUCCUACGGAGGCAGCAGUGGGGAAUAUUGCACAAUGGGCGCAAGCCUGAUGCAGCCAUGCCGAGUGUAGGAAGAAGGCCCAAGGGUUGUAAAGUACUUUCGGUCGGGAGGCGUUACCGACAGAAGAAGCACCGGCUAACUCCGUGCCAGCAGCCGCGGUAAUUC